GCGGGGGUUCCCGAGCGGCCAAGCACUAGACUGCUUGCGAAGAUCGCGCGGGUAGUCAUGGGCCAAAGGGGCAGGGCUUAGGACCCUGUGACUUAGUGUCUUCAAGAGUUCGAAUCUCUUCCCUCGCA
Molecule: transfer RNA, 128 nt
Filed under: Nanobdellota archaeon
Lineage: Archaea; Nanobdellati; Nanobdellota
Also listed under: 1 other name
Description: tRNA-Leu
Rfam family: tRNA (bases 46-128)
About the family: Transfer RNA (tRNA) molecules are approximately 80 nucleotides in length.
Source: RNAcentral